This 486-nucleotide ribosomal RNA is filed under the name uncultured bacterium. RNAcentral describes it as "bacterial SSU rRNA". It matches the Rfam family "Bacterial small subunit ribosomal RNA", at positions 28 to 506 of the family's 1533-position model. The record is from RNAcentral.
GAUGAACGCUAGCGGCAGGCUUAACACAUGCAAGUCGAGGGGCAGCGCGAGGUAGCAAUACUUUGGCGGCGACCGGCGCACGGGUGCGUAACGCGUAUGCAACUUACCCACUACAGGGGGAUAACGGAGGGAAACUUCCACUAAUAUCCCAUGGUGUCACCGAAUCGCAUGGUUUGGUGACUAAAGCUUCGGUGGUAGUGGAUGGGCAUGCGUGACAUUAGGUAGUUGGCGGGGGCAACGGCCCACCAAGCCGACGAUGUCUAGGGGAGCUGAGAGGCUUAUCCCCCACACUGGUACUGAGACACGGACCAGACUCCUACGGGAGGCAGCAGUGAGGAAUAUUGGUCAAUGGGCGAGAGCCUGAACCAGCCAUGCCGCGUGCAGGAUGACGGCUCUAUGAGUUGUAAACUGCUUUUGUAUGAGGGUAAUAUCAGGUACGUGUACCUGCUUGAAAGUAUCAUACGAAUAAGGAUCGGCUAACUCCGU